CAGUACAUAUGAUAAUGGCUAUAUUUUAAAAAACAUACAUUUUUCAGUACAAGCUUUUCUUUGCAUUUUCAGUGACCUGCAAGGUUUAUAGACAAAGAUUUUUUUUAUUCCUAUUGCAAUCAUGCACUAGUUAUGCUAUAAGACUUAAAUAUUAUGACUUUGCAAAUUAUCUUACUCAGUUAAUGAUGUAUAUAAUUGUCUUUAUUACAUUUCAUUUUUUUUUACAUUUUAAUUUUGUAAAUACACAGAAUUGUUCAUAAGCUGAGACCUAGGGGGAACAUUGAUUUUUGAGAUUAUUCACUUUUGUGUACACUAUAUUAAAUAUUUGUAUUAAAAACAAUUUUAAGAUUGCAAAGAAAAUAUUUGAGCUAUAAAUUUUGUUUACAUUUAGUUAUGCUUGGAGGAGAUAUAGUGAUGUCUUUUUUCUCUUCUCUCUUUCUCCUUUAUCCAGAAUAGUGUUCAUCUCUGACUGAAUGAACUAUGGGGGAUUGAAACCAGGAUUUUAGAAACUCAGGCAUGAAAGUUGUUCUUUCUCCCCUAGUCAUUGUUCUUUCUCCCCUAGUCAUUUUUCCUCCUUUCUUUCUUACUUAUUAAUAUAUUUUUGUCAUCUAUGUUUUCAGAUAAAGGCAUUGACAGAGGGAAAGACACCACAUCCUCAGAGUUUAUCCCAGUGUAGUGGAACACAGCCACAAAAUAGGGUCAUGCACAAGUUUUAUGUCAUACUUAAAUACAUACUGAUACACCCACAAUAAAUGUAUAAAGUAAUGUUAUGUAAUUAAACAGUUGGUAUGUACAUCUUACCAUCACAGAUAGUACCAUUUACAAUUUAGUGCUUUACAAUUUUGUCUAGAAAUUAGUUUCAUUGCUACUCAGUUUAAUAAAGGGGAAGUGAGAUGUUUGAAAAUACAUCUACUUGUAUCAAGUCUCACAAAGUUUAAUUUUGUGAAUAUCUCAUUGUAGAUAUUCUGGCAUUAUUAUAUCUUAAAAGUAUCAAGCAAUGAAUAGGCCCUAAGAUUUAUACAUUAAUAUAGUUAGGAGAAGAAAUUGACAAAUGUACACAUACCCCAUUUUCAUAUAGAAGUGGGGUAUUCUAUCAAGUAUGCAUUUUUAUUACAAAAUAUAGCAUGUAGAGUCAUUGGUAUUCAUUUCUACCUUCCUUUUUUUCUUCCUUGUUCUUUUUGCUUGAAUUUUAAAAAAAAUAUUUAUUCCCUUUUGUUGCCACUGUUGUUUUAUUGUUGUGGUUAUUAUUUUAUUGGCGUUGUUAGAUAGGACAGAGAAAUGGGGAGGGGAAGACGGGGAGAGAAAGAUAGACACCUACAGACUUGCUUCACAGCUCCUGAAGCAACUCUCCUCUAGGUGGAGGAAGUUGGGGGUUCAAACCAGGAUCCUUACACAGAUCCUUACUCUUUGCACCAUUUGCGCUUAACCCGCUGUGCUACCACCCAACUCCCUUGCUUGAAUUUUAAAGUUCAGGAAAUAAAUGAUCUUGAUUAAGCUUUUAUACUACCUCUGGGAACUAUGUGCAAUUCUGUAUGUGUUCCUUUUUUGCAUGACAAUGUUCAAGACAAUUGUAAAUAAUGAGUAGAUAGAAAUUUAAAAGUUUUAACAGUUUUUCUAGAUAUAAUAUUUUCAUUUUCUGUUAUGAAUUAUUUUUAUUGGAACUGUUUUAAGUAUUGAAAUUUGUAUAAUUAAUUUUCUUGAAUUACACAUUUUGACAACUAUUUGCAUACUUACUUCUUUAGGAAAAAGGAGUAAGUUAAAGGAAAUAUAUCCAUUUUCCUAUUUUCAUUUAAAAUUUAGCUAUUAAUGUAAUGUGAUGCUUUAUUAUGAGAUUGAUAUGUUAUCAGGUACUUUAAUUCUUGUAAAUAAGUUUUGUAAGAAAUUUUAUUCUCCCUUUCUCAAUUAAACAGCUUUGUUUAAUUGAAUUGCACGACAACAAGCAAGACAAGCAUAUCAUUUGACAUGGAUUUUUAACAUAUAUGAACUUCACAAAGCAUAGUCUUGUAGUAUUUUGUUAUAAAAAUCACAAAUUGUUUACUGUAGUUUGACUGUAAUGGUUAAAAUUGGACUCUUAAAUCUAUGUGACAGCUGAUGUUUUGACAGUUGGUUUUGGGAAUAGAGAAAUAUCUUCAGAAAAAAUAUUGUAACAAGUAUAUGGGUAUUUUCAUAUAUAACUAAAGGGAUAUAUAUUUUUGUAUUUCAAAAGAAUAAUACUUAGUUAUUUUAAAUCAGGAAUUUACAUUACUAAGAUAAUCUGAUUUUUCUAUAGAAAUUUACUCUGCAAAGUUUAUAUGUAUAGUACAGAUUUAUACGAAAUUCAUAUAAUUGGUGUUAUGGAUUUAAUUUUCAAGUAAUACUUUAUAUUAAAAAUUUAUAUUACUAUUUUAAUUUCAAAUUUAUGGGAAUAGUAUUUUCAUACUAAUAUGAAAACAUACCUUUCCUUAUCACAUUGUAAAAUGAAUUAUUUUUGUAGAUUGUAUAGUUUUCGAUUCUGAGAUAUUAUAUAUUUUAUCAGAAGAAACUUGCAUGAUUUUUAAUAUUCUACUGCGGGAUUUAAAUUUUUCUAAUAACUUAGGUCAUGAUGUAACAAUACACUUUUUCAAUUUUAUAAGAAUUUCUUUGCAUGUUAAUAGUUGGCUAUAAUAUCUCAGUAUGUGAAUGCAUGUCAAUUAUGAUUCUAAUUUAUAAUCAAUUAUUCCUGAACAUAUUAUAAACACAAAAAUAUGCUGGUAGACAACAGUGGUAUAAUUUUAUUUGAAAUUUUAUCAUUUUGAACAGUUGUAGAGGUAUGAGCAUAGACUUUUUUUCCUCUGUUAAUGGUUAUUAUUAAUAUUAUCUUAGUCAUGAUAUAGAAUUUUAAAAGUACUCAAUUUUUAUGAUAGUGACUAUUUUUAUACUUUACAGUUUAUGUACAUGUGCAACUGAAAUACUAAAAUUUGUAUAUCUUUACAUUGCUACUUGACAAUCUAAGACAAGUAUCUAAAAGUAUAGAAAAUUAGUAUAAAAAGGGUUUAGAAGAAUACUAUAAUCUUUGAAAAUACUAUUUAGUGAAAUUAGAAUCACAAACUGAAUCUGCUUUCUGCAUUUAAAAUUUCAAAACUUGAAAAAUGAAUGUUUUGACAAUUUUUAAGAGACAACUGAUUUGUGCCUGUCUUCAUCAAACUUGCCUAUUCACAUCUUGGAAAUUAUGGGUUGUUUCUAACACUGUUUUUCUAGUGUUCAUUUAAAAUUGUUCUUAAGUGGUGAUCACGAAGAACAUGUUAUUUAGAAAGUAGAGCAGCAGAAAGGCUUACCAGUGAACCAAAUACUGGACUUCAAGGAAUGAAGAGACAUGUUAUUGAAGGCAUAGAACAAAAUUAUAUUGUAUUAAUAUGUGACUGUGAUAAAUUUGCCAAUACCCAUACUGGAGAAAAGGAAAAAAAUCCAUUUUGGGAAGUCUAAGAGAGCAAACUUCAUGAACACUACCUGUUAUUAUUGUCAAAGCUGACUAAAGUUAAAAUGCUUUAAGUAGAGUUCCUUUAUUAUCUGCUCACCAGAGUGAAUGCUGAACAAUCCAUUAAAUAUUCUUAAUGCCACUGCAUAUUAUGAGGUGACAGCUGCAUAGGGAACUGAUGCUCUUCCAUCUCUUUAACCGUCACAAAACUAAGUGAUUAUCUUCAUAAAGCAUACAGAUACCUCUUUCAAGUGUUGACCCAUGGAUACGAUAUACAUAUGAGGAAAAUUGGUAUGAGGAAGAUCAUGCAUCAAUCAGCUGUCAUUCGAAAGACCAGGCAUGUGUCAGACAUUUCAGUCUUUGGCAUUGUGGAGUUCCAAGGAGAUCAUCGUCUUCAUAUCUGAACAUGUUACCUGUCAUACAUUUAUUUUAUUUUUUAAUUUGGAUAUUAGUUGUCUUAUCACUGUAUUCCAACAGUUCAUUUAUGAUUAAGAAGUUUAAUCAUUCCUAAUGCAAUACAAAAAGAAUGUUAUGCUCCUGCCAUUAGUUUCCUGUGGUGUUUGAUUUCUGUUUGUAUAAAUGUUGCAUAUUGAAAUACAGUAUCUUUUAUGCAUUUUGA
Long non-coding RNA from Erinaceus europaeus (western European hedgehog), 4052 nucleotides. RefSeq lists it as uncharacterized. Lineage: Eukaryota; Metazoa; Chordata; Mammalia; Eulipotyphla; Erinaceidae. The record is from RefSeq and is a predicted model, not a curated record. The transcript has 5 exons.